Molecule: ribosomal RNA, 449 nt
Filed under: uncultured bacterium
Lineage: Bacteria
Description: partial 16S ribosomal RNA
Rfam family: Bacterial small subunit ribosomal RNA
Source: RNAcentral
AAUGAACGCUGGCGGCAGGCCUAACACAUGCAAGUCGAACGGAUCCUUCGGGAUUAGUGGCGGACGGGUGAGUAACGCGUGGGAACAUACCCAAAGGUACGGAAUAGCCUCGGGAAACUGGGAGUAAUACCGUAUGUGCUCGAAAGAGGAAAGAUUUAUCGCCUUUGGAUGGGCCCGCGCUGGAUUAGGUAGUUGGUGGGGUAAUGGCCAACCAAGCCGACGAUCCAGAGCUGGUUUGAGAGGAUGAUCAGCCACGCUGGGACUGAGACACGGCCCAGACUCCUACGGGAGGCAGCAGUGGGGAAUCUUAGACAAUGGGGGAAACCCUGAUCUAGCCAUGCCGCGUGAUCGAUGAAGGCCUUAGGGUUGUAAAGAUCUUUCAGGUGGGAAGAUAAUGACUGUACCACCAGAAGAAGCCCCGGCUAACUCCGUGCCAGCCGCCGCGGUAA